GACGAACGCUGGCGGCGUGCUUAACACAUGCAAGUCACGGGGGUCUCGCAAGAGAGAACCGGCGAACGGGUGCGUAACACGUGAACAACCUGCCGUUGUGAGGGGGAUAGCCGGGCUAACGCCCGGGUAAUACCGCAUACGCUGCCCGAGGGGAGUCCCUUGGGGAGGAAAGCCAUGGCGCAAGCGAUGGCGCACGACGAGGGGUUCGCGGCCUAUCAGCUAGUUGGGGGC
This 231-nucleotide ribosomal RNA is filed under the name uncultured bacterium. RNAcentral's name for it is "partial 16S ribosomal RNA". It matches the Rfam family "Bacterial small subunit ribosomal RNA", at positions 28 to 256 of the family's 1533-position model. The record is from RNAcentral.